CGACCUGGCCUAGCUGGCCUCCACGGCGCCCCCGGGGACCGUGCGCCCGAAGCGGGCGCUUCAGUGGCCUCCGCGUUGGGCCAGCCCUGACGUGAUCACAAAACCUAUACUAUAGGGUUGGCUGAUGCAGCUGCCUUCUUUCUUGUCAUCUACCUUUUCUAUCUUGUUAUCAUGUCAGCUAUGAUGAAAUUAUCACACAAGGGGAGUGGAUAAGUGAUGCAGUUACCUUCUUUUUUGUCAUCUACCUUUUCUCUCUUGGCAUUCCCCCAGCUGUGAUGAAACUUUCACACACAGUCCUUCUUAGGGACUGACUCCCUUGCCCCCGAUACGAAAUUUCCUAUAGAUCAAAUCGUUAGAAAUCUUAAACUCUCUUCACAUGGUGAGUGAUUGUCUAUUGGUAACAUAAUCUGGGCAUUUCCGAAAUGAAUCUAAGCAGACUACUAAAAUCCCUUUCUUCAUCCUCAUUCCUUUUCUUGCACAGACCAUGUUGGAUUCAUUCUUUCUCUUGGAAUGAUCUCAACUAAGCAUGAGACAUUUUACUCAUAUUCCACCAACUCAAAUAAAUGUUUCUUCUUGUUGAUCACACUUCAAACAUAAAUUAUUACAAAUUUUGCACAUUUUAGGUAAUUUAGAUGGGGUUGAUGGCAUGUCCAUACAUUCUAUCAGGUUUUACAGAACUAACAUUACAUCAUCGACAAAUGUUUUCAAUCGUUCAAUUACUUCUAUGUCCUUCAUAUUAUUUUCGUCUUGGAUUUCCCAAGUUUAGACAUUGUUUCUCGGUGUCAUGGACUAAGAUGCAACAUUUUUGCUCUGUGCAGUUACGUAACCCAGAAGGCCCCUAUAAAAGUCCAUGGAGCCCCAGCCAGAAGGGACUAGUUCUACACUCUGCCGAAAGAGAAGGACAGCGAACAAUUUGCACAAUGGAAUGGGCUUAUGUAGUCACCCUCCUCCUUGUUAUCUGUGUUUCUUGCCAUUUGCUCAUCUCUUCUAAGAGAAAACGAUUGCACAAGGGAAAGCUUCCUCCGGGACCCACUCCCCUGCCCCUGAUCGGGACUUUACUGCAGAUCAAGUCAGGAGAAACCUUAAAGUCUCUUCUAAAGGAUUUCUUUCCUCUUUCCUGCAGGGGUGGCCUUUUCCAAUGGAGAACGUUGGAAGCAACUGCGCCGAUUCUCCAUCACUGCCUUGAAGAGUUUGGGGAUGGGGAAAAAGUCUAUUGA
RNAcentral lists this long non-coding RNA (1217 nucleotides) under Anolis carolinensis (green anole). Its description in RNAcentral is "lncRNA (ENSACAG00000041624.1)". The record is from RNAcentral. Lineage: Eukaryota; Metazoa; Chordata; Lepidosauria; Squamata; Anolidae.